RNAcentral lists this long non-coding RNA (1426 nucleotides) under Cricetulus griseus (Chinese hamster). Its description in RNAcentral is "lncRNA (ENSCGRG00015042960.1)". Lineage: Eukaryota; Metazoa; Chordata; Mammalia; Rodentia; Cricetidae. The record is from RNAcentral.
CUGAGCGGCAGGGGCUGUAGCCAAUGAGCAUCUGGCCCGGCCGGGGAAGGCGGGCGUGUGGUAGCGGCCGAGCCGGCUGGCUGAGGGCGCGAGUCUCCAGGGCUGAGGUAAGAAGAUGUCACACGCCCAGAGUAGAUGGAAUUACUCACCGACCCAAGUUGGUUCGUAUCUCAGGAGCGACUAACUCCCUGCCCACAGUCCAUGGUCAGUCAAGUCGGGACACAAAGCCUGCGAUGGACAGCUCUUUGGCUGUAGAAACUUAGGGUGGUUCUCUGUGUAUGAAUGAAGAGGACCAAGGUGGGGAGGUUAAUUUACAUUUAAACUUAGAUUGGGGUAACCAGAGCAUGAGAUCUUCCAACUGGGCGGCCACAUGCGGUAUGACACGCUUUCUAAGAAACAUCAGAGGCUAUUUUCCCAUUAUUAUUGUGUGGGUUAAAUGGGAACGCAUGGAGUAAUUUAAGACGUGCCCCACCCCUGACUUACACUGUAAAUGUCAUGCCUAGCAAGGAACCAAGGAGAUAGUGAUAUCUUAGCCUUUUGUAGUUUAGUUUUUUUCCAAGUAAAAAGGAAAUUUAGAUCUACAUCAAAGGGGUUGUGUUUUCUGCAAGAUUAAAGCACGAGACUGGAAAAGAACCAAAUUUACAAUUGCACUGUAAGCCAAGUGGUGGUGCACGCCUUUAAUUCCAUCCCUCAGGAGGCAGAGGCAGGAGGAUGUAUGAGUUCGAGGCUAGACUGGUCUUGAAAAACAGAACCAACAAAAAUUCCCCUGACAAUGAAACAUUAGUCCUGUCUCCGGAAGAUAAAGUUGUGGUUUCAAUUUUUUUUUUUUUCCCUUAACGUUUCUGUUUUGCAAAGUUUUUCACUUAAUUAUUUUUUUUCUUUUGUAAACCAGUAGUUUUCAAGCUACACUGGUGAGAUCUUAUUCUUUAGUUUGUUGUUGUCUGCUGACUGGAAGAUUGACCUUGAACUGUUAGACCCCCGAAAACUCGAGUAUUUGGAGUCCCAGGCCACGUUCGCGGUCACCCCAAUCACCAGGCAGAUUCGAGAGCUUGCUGCAAACUGCACGAGGCUUUAUUGUAAUUUAACGAGCUAACCCCAUGUUAGCUCGGGUCUUUCACACACCCGACAUGGCGGACAGCUAGAAAAGAGGGGCUCCUUGGGUCUCCCAAAAGAUCUUAUAGGGCAGCAUAAGGGGAGUGUCUACGGGUACGCACAGGCUUACGCACAGGCUCACGAUUGGUGUGCUUCCAGGCUUGGAGGGCUUGCCCUGUGUUGAUUGGUCAACUGGUUGUUAUGGCUCAUAGCCCUCCCAGGGUGGUUGCGUAUGCUCUCUACGUCAUUGCUGUGCGCUUGUCUGUAAAGCACACCCAGGGUCGUAAAGCAUAGCGCCACCAGCUAACCUCUGAUUGGCUCCUUGUCACGAGAC